GAAAUGCGAUAAGUAAUGUGAAUUGCAGAAUUCAGUGAAUCAUCGAAUCUUUGAACGCACAUUGCGCCCCCUGGUAUUCCGGGGGGCAUGCCUGUUCGAGCGUCAUUUCACCACUCAAGCCUCGCUUGGUAUUGGGCGACGCGGUCCGCCGCGCGCCUCAAAUCGACCGGCUGGGUCUUCCAUCCCCUCAGCGUUGUGGAAACUAUUCGCUAAAGGGUGCCGCGGGAGGUCACGCCGCAAAACAACCCCAUUUCUAAGGUUGACCUCGGAUCAGGUAGGGAUACCCGCUGAACUUAAGC
RNAcentral lists this unclassified non-coding RNA (299 nucleotides) under plant metagenome. RNAcentral's name for it is "partial contains 5.8S ribosomal RNA, internal transcribed spacer 2, and large subunit ribosomal RNA". The stretch from base 1 to 105 matches the Rfam family "5.8S ribosomal RNA", at positions 50 to 154 of the family's 154-position model. The record is from RNAcentral.